GAUGAACGCUGGCGGCGUGCCUAAUACAUGCAAGUAGAACGCUGAAGGAGGAGCUUGCUCUUUCCGGAUGAGUUGCGAACGGGUGAGUAACGCGUAGGUAACCUGCCUGGUAGCGGGGGAUAACUAUUGGAAACGAUAGCUAAUACCGCAUAACAGUAGAUAUUGCAUGAUAUUUGCUUGAAAGGGGCAAUUGCUCCACUACCAGAUGGACCUGCGUUGUAUUAGCUAGUUGGUGAGGUAACGGCUCACCAAGGCGACGAUACAUAGCCGACCUGAGAGGGUGGUCGGCCACACUGGGACUGGGACACGGCCCAGACUCCUACGGGAGGCAGCAGUAGGGAAUCUUCGGCAAUGGACGGAAGUCUGACCGAGCAACGCCGCGUGAGGGAAGAAGGUUUUCGGAUCGUAAAGCUCUGUUGUAAGAGAAGAACGAGUGUGAGAGUGGAAAGUUCACACUGUGACGGUAUCUUACCAGAAAGGGACGGCUAACUACGUG
Molecule: ribosomal RNA, 496 nt
Filed under: uncultured bacterium
Lineage: Bacteria
Description: partial 16S ribosomal RNA
Rfam family: Bacterial small subunit ribosomal RNA
Source: RNAcentral